CCAGCAGCCGCGGUAAUUCCAGCUCCAAUAGCGUAUAUUAAAGUUGUUGCAGUUAAAAAGCUCGUAGUUGGAUUUCUGGUGCGCGCGGUCGGUCUGCCCGUCUGGGCAUGCACUACGCUGUCGCGCGCCAUCUUUGGGGAGAGCGGCGUCUGGCAUUAACUUGUCGGGCCCGGGACCCCCAUCCUUUACUGUGAAAAAAUUAGAGUGUUUAAAGCAGGCUUACGCCGUUGAAUACAUUAGCAUGGAAUAAUAAGAUAAGACUUUGGUGGUCUAUUUUGUUGGUUUGCACACCGAGGUAAUGAUUAAUAGGGACAGUUGGGGGUAUCCGUAUUUCGUAGUCAGAGGUGAAAUUCUUGGAUUUACGAAAGACGAACUACUGCGAAAGCAUUUACCAAGGAUGUUUUCAUUAAUCAAGAACGAAAGU
This 424-nucleotide ribosomal RNA is filed under the name uncultured eukaryote. RNAcentral's name for it is "SSU rRNA". It matches the Rfam family "Eukaryotic small subunit ribosomal RNA", at positions 567 to 990 of the family's 1831-position model. The record is from RNAcentral.